RNAcentral lists this unclassified non-coding RNA (228 nucleotides) under Melitaea cinxia (Glanville fritillary). RNAcentral's name for it is "misc RNA ENSMCXG00005008521.1". Lineage: Eukaryota; Metazoa; Arthropoda; Insecta; Lepidoptera; Nymphalidae. The record is from RNAcentral.
ACGCAUUAUCAAAGAUUACUCCAAAAUUGUAAUCAGAUCUCGAUGAAAUUUAAAUGUGACCACAUGAUAAACAUCGAUUUUCGAUUAAAUUAAAAAUCAUAAAAAUCGGUACACCCAGUAAAAAGUUAUGCGGAUUUUCGAGAGUUUCUUUCGAUUUCUCUGGGAUCCCAUCAUCAGAUCCUGAUUUCCUUGUCAUGGUACCAAACUAGGGAUAUCUCCUUUCCAAAA